Molecule: long non-coding RNA, 6045 nt
Filed under: Capsicum annuum
Lineage: Eukaryota; Viridiplantae; Streptophyta; Magnoliopsida; Solanales; Solanaceae
Description: long non-coding RNA (CANN_LNC000627)
Source: RNAcentral
UGUCUCUUCUCCUUCUUCUUCAUACACUCUCAGCGUACUUCUAUUCUUUAAUACUAUUUUUUUGUAUUCUUAGAAAGUUUGUUCUUUUUGUUUUGUUGUACCAGCUCCCUGUGUCUUUGGGUUUUUCUCUGUGUGUGAUGCUUUUUGUUUGGUGAGAAGGAUAAGUAGUUUUGAUAUUUAAUAGGGGAAAUUUAAUGUUUGGUAUUGAUGCUUGUGCUGCGUAUGAAUAGAUUUAAAAGGUGGACUUAUUUUGGUGUGUUGGGAAUUUGGAUCCUAAAGUUUCUGGGAAUUUCUUGAAUUUUGGAGAAUUGGAGUAUAGAUUGGUUGAUUGUGGAAUAAUUUAAGAGUGACGGUUGAUAUUUUUGGAAUUCUGAACUGAAGUGUUAUCAAUUAUCCGAAUCAAAUUAUUCAAGUUCGGGUUCUAGCAGCGAUAUUUUAAGACUUCGUAGAAAGAUAUUAUAGAUUUGACGUCCAGGUAGGCUAGGCUUACCCUACUUUUAGAUUGAGCUUAUAUACCGAAAUUGUGAACUAUUAUGCUAGCUUUUGAUAAAUACUUGUAGAUGCAUAUUAUUUGAUUUAUAUAAACUGUCUUAUUUAUCCGGAUUAGGACCCCGUUCUAGUAAAUAUUAGAAUACUAUCUUUUAACAUAAUAUAACAUCUAUUACGUUAGGACGUGGAACAAAAUUACAAAAUCUUGAAUUUAUCUCUGUUUAAUUAAUAUUGGCGGAUGAAUAUUUAGAAGUUCACAUUAUUAGGAUAUGAUAUAGAUUUUAAUACUACCGAUGAGUUCCGGUUCGAGUCUGGCAUUUGAUUAUUAUUGCUACUAUGAGUUCCAGUUUGAGUCCGACAUUUGAUUAUUAUUGCUACGAUGAGUUCUGGUUCGUGUUCGGCAUUUGAUUAUUAUUGCUACUAUCAGUUCCGGUUCAAGUCUAGCAUUUGAUUAUUUUUGCUACUAUGGGUUUCGGUUCAAGUCUGGCAUAAGAUUAUGAGUUCUAUAUAUGCGGCCUAUCGUUAUUACCCACUAUGUCCGAUUUGAAUCCGGCACGUGUCCUCUCGUUACUAACCAUUGGUAUCGGUUCGAGUCCGAUGCACAUCUGGAUUUAAUGGGAUAUAGAUUAUUUAUGUUUAUUUUCAUUACUUGUGUGUCCUACCGGCUUAUGGGGGUCGAUUGGGUUAAUUAUCUUCUUCAGUGUGCCUAGCGGGCUUAUGGUGGCCCAGUUAGGUUAUGUUUGAUUUGUUUGUUAUUACUACAUUAUUUAUAUUUUUGUAUCGCUUAAGUUUAUUCCUUUAUAGUCGCUGUGUAGCUUGGUAGUUGUUUACCUUUCCAUCCCUAUUUACUAUGACUCAGAUUACAUCCUUGCAUUGUAGUUAUACCUUUUCUGUAUUGAGCUCAGUCGGCCGAUGAUGCCUAUUGAGUACCCAUGGCUUCGGUACUCAUAUUGCACUUCUGCAUCUUUUUCCUGUUGUACAUCCAGGUACUAGCAGUCGACGUUGACGUGACUCCUACCUUUCAGUACCGAUUCAGAGAAGGGUGAGCUUCUUGUCGUUCGAGGCUGAUCCUCCUCUAUCUACUCCAGUUAGACUUUUGCACUCGAGACUGCUUGUGUAUAUUGUGUACAUUUUAAAUUUUUGUCUAGUACUCUGGGUACCUAUUAGUAGUGGCUCUAGUACUGACCUUAUCAAGUCUUAGGAGGGUUUCAUUUGUAUAGUGGGUCUUUUUUCCUCCUCUCGUUUUGAUAUAAUAUAUAUGCCCCUUCUUAGUUUUCACUUGUUAUUGUUGUUGUUAGCAUCAUACGUGAUCUUUUAUCUGACUUCUGUCUGUUAGCACGUUAUCUAUUAUUUCGGGCUAUGGCUUGGCUUGCCUACUGGGGGUUAAAGUAGGCGCUCUAAUAGCUUGAGAAAUCGAGUCGUGACAGCUUAGUAUCAAAGGCUAGGUCUUAAUGGUAUUGUUAGUACUAAAGCCAAUAUUUAGUAGAGAGUUGCAGAUCGGUACAGCGACGUCUGUAUCCUAUCUUCGAGAGGCUACAAAGCAUUUUUAGGGAACAAUCUCAUUUUCUUGAUCCAUUUUCGUGCGUUGAGUCUGAGUUUGGUGAGUUUAGGGAAGUCUUUUUUGGAGAUAGUCGAACAUGCUUAUUCUAUAGAGGAGAUGGAUUAUGAAGCCCAAGGGGGCAGCGAUAAAAGACCACGUUACCAAGGCAGCUAUAAUGAUUCACAGUUCACUGGAGGAUUUCAUAGUAUAUACCCCAGCAGCAGCCUUCUCAGCAUCAGCGUCAGCCUAGUAGGCCAGUUCAGGCAUCGCUUCAGAUAUCAUACAGGGGUCAGCAUGGCUAUAGUAUAUAGUUACAGCGGUCAAAGCAAUAGCCAGCCACAGAGAGGCGCUCAGCUAGGAUUUUUGAAUAGAUCACUUGUACAUAUAAAAAAAAUUUUAAAACACAAAUACGGACUUUGAGACUUAAGUUUAUAGGUUCGGUCGAACUCACGGCUAAGCUUCAAACUACUUUAUUUAUAAGAAACUGCUGGACCUUUAGCAUUGUAAGUUUUUAUGUAAGGUGUUUCAUAAAAUUGGUACAAAGACCUCAAGUUAUCUGAAUUUGAAAAAAAAUAUUAAUGGGAUAUGCAUAGAAAAAAUUAGUAAUGAAACAUGCAUUGGGCUCUUGUAUACUGGCAAUGAAGCCAACUAUUAGUUGCCUUUAUUUAUUUCGUGGCAAAUCACUUUGCACCAAUUAUCGAUCUCAAUUCACUAAGUUCAAGACAUCCCGAUAAUUAGUUUUAAUUGGUUGGUUUAGCUACAUGGCGAUGAGCAUGAUAGAAAUCUAACUAGCUGGUUUCAAACAAAGAGUUAAGGUAGAAAACAAUAGUCAUAUAAUAUUUUCAUUACAACCACUUGUGGCAAAUUUUGAGUUUUGCAUCAAUUGAUCUUUGACUUUACUUGGCAAAUGCUAGUUAUUUAUUGCUUCAAGAGUUGCUCUUGCUCAACUCGUAGUGUAUUUUUGUACAAUUGAGCUCGUCUGCAUUUGUUGUAUGUGUAUUUGACUUUAGUUGAUAUUGUUGUUAUGUUACUCUUGCUGUAGACGUUGGAGGGUACCCUUCUGUGUCUAGAGAAUAUUGAAGCUUAUCAAACUAUGGUAAAUGGCUGUGAUUGCUAUCCAUGGCCUGGUCAUGUGGCCCGAGGUUACCAUUAAAUUCUUGAUUCAUGCUGCUCUUGGUGUGCUGUUAUUCUUUCUACUUGAUGAAUGUAAAGCACUGCUUACUCUGAAUGUGUUAAGAAAUGCUUAUUCUAGAUCUAUCAAGAAACAUCCGUGAUGUUCCUGCUAUUUUUGAAGUUGAAGAUUUGAUCUCUUAUGUCUGUUGUAUAGCCCAAGCAAAGAAUCUUAGAUAUGUUACUGUUCUUGUUUGUUUGAAGUAGCUGCUUCUGUUGUAUCUGGUCCCAUCAAAUACUAGAAGUCUUUAGCACUGAUUGGUUUUACAUGCUGCUACGCCUAAUUAGGCCAUGUCAUUCUGUAGUUGUCAUGGAAUCCUCAGAAGUGUGUUGUUGAUUUUCAUAGUCAUCCUAACCAUCAGUCAGUUACAUGCCUUUCGCUAAUUUUCAAGUGAAACUAUAGAGCAGAGAUGAGAGUCUCUCCUAGGUGAGUGAUCCGACCAUGCAUCAUGGUUGAUUCUAGCUCUGUCGAAUGGUUGUUCUCCUUUUUCAUACUGAGGCAAUGUAGUUGUCUAACUGUGUGUUCUUUUUGUAAAUUUUUGUCCUCUUUUUCUUGAUAUAGUAAGUAUUUGUUUUCUUAAAUGCAUUUUUGUUAUAUAUGCGGUUGAUUUCCAUUUUAAGUUGCACUUUGUUCAUAUACAUGUGAGUGUUAAAUCUACAUGAUGAUAUAUCCCCAAAUUUAAAGGGAUGAAGAUGUGGCCUAUAUGAACAUAAAUAGGUUCCUUUUUAUUCUCGAUACAAUCCUGAAUGUUAAGGUGUUUCUUCAUGAGACACUCUUAUUGAUGGCAAAGACUUUUUUCCAUCAUAAUGUGUUAAUUUUUCUGGUGUCCUAAUAUGUACUGAGUCGUGGUAGUGUAUUUUUCGUUAUAUAGUAUUAGUACGGUGGCAUGAUGGUGAUUAUUUUUGUCAAUCUUGUUGAAUUUUCAUUUAAUUUGAUGAUGUCAAAUUCGAGAUCGUUGUUAAUUUUGCUAGUCUUGGGGAUAAUUUGGUUUCAAAUUAGCUGCAUUUAUUAGAACUGGCAUGCUGGGAACUUUUAUCUAUAAAUGUUGUGUAAUGGUAUAGAUUGUCAGUGUCAUGAUAUGCAUUGCCGAGUAUCAGAAGUAAUUUUUUUUCCUUGUUACUCACUGCUAUAGAAAGGUAUUCGUAUCCUAUGUUUUUUCGACUUCUUUAAAAUCCCGAAGUUCCUUAAACGUGUGGUAUAUAUAGCUUGUGUCUGAUAUAUCCAAGAGCUCGGUUUUGCUGGAGCGCUUGAUGUAUUGCAUUUGAAAGGUCGAUUGUUCAAAUCCACUUGGAUUCCUAAUAUAACAGUAUAUUGUAUUUCAUAUCCUCUCUUAAUUGUGUUUUGUGUCGAAUUUACGUUUCAAAAGUGGAACUGUCUGAAACAAGUAAAGAUAUACAAUUUUUUUAUGUAUCAACAAUUGUAGAUGGCAACUAAAAUACCAUUGGAUGAUUGUCCAGAGACAUGUAUAGGUGGAUCAAACCUGUCUACAUUAUAUUAAUUUAUCAUUUAGAUAGUUUAAUUGUCAAGGGAGUCUAAUUGCCCAAAAAGAAGAUUUUUGUUUUUUUACUUUUGACCCUUAUAUAAAGACCUUGAUGCCAAUAGCUUAACCUGGUGGGACUGGUAUACAUUUGCUUCUCUGCCAAUGAAAAAGGAAGUGGCAAGUAGUUUUGCAACAAGAAGUGUAAUUAGUACCCUGCUUCUCUGCUCUUUUCCUCCUUAAUGUCUAGUUAUUACAUAGGGUAUGUUACAACUAAGGGUUGUUAGUCACUUCUCCCGUGAUUUUCCUCAGUAUAGGAUGGUUGAGCCUUUAGUUUUGACUGCACAGCCGAUCAGGUCAGUGCUGCUGUUAGGUAGGGGUGAUGCGCAGAGUCGUGGGGAUGGUCCUUAGGGUUUGAGAGGUGGUCGAUAGGAACCCAGUCCAGUGGUAGAUAGGGUCAUUUGUAUGCUUAUUUUGCAUUGCGGUUAGGUUCAUGUUCAGAGUUUUUAUCUGUGUCAUUCAUAUAGCUAUCCUUUUGGGUGAUUCUUUAGUAGUGGAUCGGGUACAUAGAUCUGGUUUGGUGAUUGUUCGGGAGUUUGGUACUCAGGUUGAUCCAUUGUCCUAGACAUAGUAGGUUUUGAUGUUACUCAAGGCGUGGAUUAGUUAUAUUUUUAUCAUGUGAUCUUUGAUUGUUGUUAGAACUGUUACUUUAACCGUGCCUGGCAUACCUCAAUUGUGUGGUAGGGUUCUGUUAGUCGCGUGCCGAUGGGGAUUAUUUUUACAUUCAGGCUAUGAGAUUGAUAUCGAGGGGUUGUCAGUCAUUUGAUGCUUAUGUUUGGGAUGUCAGUGUUGAGAGUAUCACGUGACUCCGACCCUGUGGUUCGUGAGUUUCUUGAUAUGUUUUCAACCGACUUACCUGGUCUUCCUCCUGAGCAAGAUAUGCAGGCCAGUAUCCCUAUCUGUUUGAGCAUUCAAGUAUUUCCUUAACUUUUACUUUUGCGGACGAAAGUGCUUUAAGUAGUGGAUGUUGUGAUGAGCCUUACGGCUAUUUCCCUAUAUUUUCAUAUAAUUUUAGUACUAUCUAAAUGUAUCAUAGAUUAUUUAAUACUAUUUUUCUGUAUUGUUAGAAAGUUUGUUCUUUUUGUUUUGUUUUGCCAACUACCUGUGUCUUUGGGUUUUUCUCUGUGCGUGAUGCUUUUUGUUUGGUGAGAAGGAUAAGUAGUUUUGAUAUUUAAUAGGUGAAAUUUAAUGUUUGGUAUUGAUGCUUGUGCUGCGUAUGAAUAGAUUUAAAAGGUGGACUUAUUUUGGUGUGUUGGGAAUUUGGAUCCUAAAGUUUCUGGGAAUUUCUUGAAUUUUGGAGAAUUGGAG